UGGGGAAUAUUGCACAAUGGGCGCAAGCCUGAUGCAGCCAUGCCGCGUGUGUGAAGAAGGCCUUCGGGUUGUAAAGCACUUUCAGCGAGGAGGAAGGUGGUGAACUUAAUACGUUCAUCAAUUGACGUUACUCGCAGAAGAAGCACCGGCUAACUCCGUGCCAGCAGCCGCGGUAAUACGGAGGGUGCAAGCGUUAAUCGGAAUUACUGGGCGUAAAGCGCACGCAGGCGGUUUGUUAAGUCAGAUGUGAAAUCCCCGGGCUCAACCUGGGAACUGCAUUUGAAACUGGCAAGCUAGAGUCUCGUAGAGGGGGGUAGAAUUCCAGGUGUAGCGGUGAAAUGCGUAGAGAUCUGGAGGAAUACCGGUGGCGAAGGCGGCCCCCUGGACGAAGACUGACGCUCAGGUGCGAAAGCGUGGGGAGCAAACAGGAUUAGAUACCCCUGGUAGUCCACGCUGUAAAACGAUGUCGAUUUUGGAGGUUGUGCCC
Molecule: ribosomal RNA, 487 nt
Filed under: uncultured bacterium
Lineage: Bacteria
Description: partial 16S ribosomal RNA
Rfam family: Bacterial small subunit ribosomal RNA
Source: RNAcentral